Dictyostelium discoideum AX4 is the source of this 141-nucleotide non-coding RNA. The record is from Rfam. NCBI's taxonomy places the organism in Eukaryota, Evosea, Eumycetozoa, Dictyosteliales, Dictyosteliaceae.
GGGCUUCUUACAGCAAAAUUAAUACAAAGUAAAUUAAAACCAAAGUGUGUAGGAUAGGUGGGAGACUUUGGUCAAGCGUGAAAGACCACCCCUUAGAUUUAAUUAAACCUACUUCUGAAAAGAAGGAAAACUUGAGCCCUG